GGUGCUUUGGCUCAAAUGGUAGAGCACUUGCCUUGAGAUCAAGAGCUGAGGGACAGUGCCAGGCCCCAGAAUUCAAGCCCCA
RNAcentral lists this transfer RNA (82 nucleotides) under Dipodomys ordii (Ord's kangaroo rat). The stretch from base 1 to 68 matches the Rfam family "tRNA". Rfam says of the family: Transfer RNA (tRNA) molecules are approximately 80 nucleotides in length. Their secondary structure includes four short double-helical elements and three loops (D, anti-codon, and T loops). Further hydrogen bonds mediate the characteristic L-shaped molecular structure. tRNAs have two regions of fundamental functional importance: the anti-codon, which is responsible for specific mRNA codon recognition, and the 3' end, to which the tRNAs corresponding amino acid is attached (by aminoacyl-tRNA synthetases). tRNAs cope with the degeneracy of the genetic code in two manners: having more than one tRNA (with a specific anti-codon) for a particular amino acid; and 'wobble' base-pairing, i.e. permitting non-standard base-pairing at the 3rd anti-codon position. Lineage: Eukaryota; Metazoa; Chordata; Mammalia; Rodentia; Heteromyidae. The record is from Rfam by way of RNAcentral.